UUAAUUGAAACCAAAAAGAGGUAAAUUAUUGUUAAUAAUUUUAUUGAGUUUAUAGUUCCAAUUAAA
Molecule: transfer RNA, 66 nt
Filed under: Microctonus brassicae
Lineage: Eukaryota; Metazoa; Arthropoda; Insecta; Hymenoptera; Braconidae
Source: RNAcentral